AUUGAACGCUGGCGGCAUGCCUUACACAUGCAAGUCGAACGGCAGCACGGGUGCUUGCACCUGGUGGCGAGUGGCGAACGGGUGAGUAAUACAUCGGAACAUGUCCUGUGGUGGGGGAUAGCCCGGCGAAAGCGGGAUUAAUACCGCAUACGAUCUACGGAGGAAAGCGGGGGCCCUUCGGGCCUCGCGCUAUAGGGUUGGCCGAUGGCUGAUUAGCUAGUUGGUGGGGUAAAGGCCUACCAAGGCGACGAUCAGUAGCUGGUCUGAGAGGACGACCAGCCACACUGGGACUGAGACACGGCCCAGACUCCUACGGGAGGCAGCAGUGGGGAAUUUUGGACAAUGGGCGAAAGCCUGAUCCAGCAAUGCCGCGUGUGUGAAGAAGGCCUUCGGGUUGUAAAGCACUUUUGUCCGGAAAGAAAUCCUUGGCCCUAAUACGGUCGGGGGAUGACGGUACCGGAAGAAUAAGCACCGGCUAACUACGUG
Molecule: ribosomal RNA, 486 nt
Filed under: uncultured bacterium
Lineage: Bacteria
Description: partial 16S ribosomal RNA
Rfam family: Bacterial small subunit ribosomal RNA
Source: RNAcentral